RNAcentral lists this ribosomal RNA (253 nucleotides) under uncultured bacterium. RNAcentral's name for it is "partial 16S ribosomal RNA". It matches the Rfam family "Bacterial small subunit ribosomal RNA", at positions 524 to 776 of the family's 1533-position model. The record is from RNAcentral.
UACGGGGGGGGCAAGCGUUGUUCGGAAUUACUGGGCGUAAAGGGCGCGUAGGCGGCCUUCUAAGUCGGACGUGAAAUCCCUCGGCUUAACCGAGGAACUGCGUCCGAUACUGAAAGGCUUGAAUCCGGGAGAGGGAUGUGGAAUUCCAGGUGUAGCGGUGAAAUGCGUAGAUAUCAGGAGGAACACCGGUGGCGAAGGCGGGUCUCUGGGCCGUAACUGACGCUGAGGAGCGAAAGCAUGGGGAGCGAACAGG